RNAcentral lists this ribosomal RNA (343 nucleotides) under Mesomycoplasma ovipneumoniae. RNAcentral describes it as "Mycoplasma ovipneumoniae partial 16S ribosomal RNA". It matches the Rfam family "Bacterial small subunit ribosomal RNA", at positions 71 to 406 of the family's 1533-position model. The record is from RNAcentral. Lineage: Bacteria; Bacillati; Mycoplasmatota; Mycoplasmoidales; Metamycoplasmataceae.
UAUGUUAGCUUGCUAGAAUAUUUAGUAGCAAAUGGGUGAGUAACACGUACCUAACCUACCUUUUGGACCGGGAUAACCAUUGGAAACAGCGGCUAAUACCGGAUAUGAUAAAAAAAUGCAUGUUUUUUUAUUAAAAGAAGCCUUUAAAGCUUCACCAAAAAAUGGGGGUGCGCAACAUUAGUUAGUUGGUAGGGUAAAGGCCUACCAAGACGAUGAUGUUUAGCGGGGCCUAGAGGCUGUACCGCCACACUGGGAUUGAGAUACGGCCCAGACUCCUACGGGAGGCAGCAGUAAGGAAUAUUCCACAAUGAGCGAAAGCUUGAUGGAGCGACACAGAGUGCAG